RNAcentral lists this long non-coding RNA (595 nucleotides) under Mus spicilegus (steppe mouse). RNAcentral's name for it is "lncRNA (ENSMSIG00000025244.1)". Lineage: Eukaryota; Metazoa; Chordata; Mammalia; Rodentia; Muridae. The record is from RNAcentral.
CCUUGAUCCCUAACUCUAUUUACUUCUUGUGUCCAUUUGGUCUUACCUUUCUUAUCUAACAGUAAAGAUGCCUUAACAUUGGAUCGACACAGAGAAUCGAGCAAACUCUAACUAUAUCCACUAGAGGUGGGCACAAUCAUCAGCUGGUUGACUGGUUGGAUGAAUGUACUGCAAGCUAUACACAACACUCAACUGUGGCAUCAGAGAGACAAUUUGAAGUGCAUGUCUAUUAAAAGCACAAUGGCCAGACCCUUCCACUUUUGUUGGUGUUGAGAAGGAGGAGACAGAAGAUGCACAGCUUGGUUCCAUAAUGCAUCAGAGAAGAGUUUCUAAAGAUAAAAAAGUCCAUGGAGAUACUUUUAAUCAAAUAGACCACUGGAAACCAGAAGUCAUUAUGCUAUCAAAACAGAAGAAGAACCUGAAGAGUGAAUUUAUGUGUAUUUUUAGGUGGAUGACUUUGUUACAUGACUGGGUGCUGCCAGGGUGGCCUCUACUGCACUUAGCUGUCUGGAGAGGAUGAAGGACUCAUUAACAGCACCCACUACUUGGCAGGAAAUUCCUCUUCAGAGCCUUGUGGGACCAUCAAAUACUGGGC